Cryptomeria japonica (Japanese cedar) is the source of this 1399-nucleotide long non-coding RNA. RefSeq lists it as uncharacterized. Lineage: Eukaryota; Viridiplantae; Streptophyta; Pinopsida; Cupressales; Cupressaceae. The transcript is spliced from 4 exons. The record is from RefSeq and is a predicted model, not a curated record.
CCACUAACACGAUCCCGAGUUUAUUCCACGCCGUUUAGUACUCAAAGAGCAGCUACUCGAUGUCUCCAUCACCGCUUCACCUACCACACACCGGGCCUACCUUCGUUCUGCUGUGCUCAUUUCUUAUAUUCGUUAUGAACGCUUUUCAUGGAGAGUUUAGUAAUCUCAAACAGGUAGCUGAAUCGAAAUCAAGUAAUCUACCAUGUAGAGCUUAGUAUUCGCAAACAGAAGGCAUUCUUGUAACUGAUUGUUUCUUCAUACAUAUUCUCAGACAUCUUUGUGAAGGUCAAUAGCUCUCCGUGGUGCUCGUAUACAUUCACACAUCCUUACGACUCGCAGUUGACACUGAUCUCUCUCUGCAAUUUGUUUUAUUAGCAAGUGACAUUCAGAACACGCUACCUAUUUGGCUUGUUAAUGAGGAAUCUGAAUGCGCUAUUGAGAAGGGUCACUUAAAUUAAUGAGAAAAUCAUUAAGAGUUCUGGCUUUGGGAGAAAGAAUGCAAGUGAGCUGAGUAAAUCAGAUGAGAUUUAAAGACCCGAACUUUCUUCAGGUAUUCGGUGACAGUCCUCAGUCACCAGUGAAGUUGGAGCAGCUGGUGCUCCAUUGGCCUUUUUUCACAAAAGGUGAACAUAGUCUGUGUGGUGUUAGUUAAAUCUUUUAAGUUAAGGACAACAAUUUAGAUUCAAGUUCUAUAAUUCAGUGAGCUCUCUAAAAACCAAGGAGACCAGUUUUUCACCUUUAGAAGUCGCACAAGUCCAAAUGUGUUAAAGUUGUCAGUUGCCCAAAGGAUUCUAGUUGCGCUGCUAACUACUAAAAUCUUUUAGACAGCUGACCACAUUAACAUAUUUAGACAAUUGUCUAAAGCUGAAAAAAUUGCCUCAAAUCUUUGGAGAGCUCACAGAAUGAAAAUAAUUUCAAUCUAAAUUACUGUCCUAAACUAGAAGCUUUGCUUGAGACCUUUGGACAACUGACGUUUGCAGAGUGUUCUCAGAAAUUAGAAAGUAUGGUGCAGAGCCAGGCCGGGUGCUAAUUAACAGCAGCUUCUUUAAUAAGUGAAAGGAAUUUUCAGCACUAAGAAUUAUGGUUACCAUUUGAAACUGACACUAAGACAGAGGCUAGUUGGAUCUUAAGCUUCAAUCGCGGAUUUUAUAUCAUUAACAUUUUAAUUUCAGUUUGCUAAGCUAUGUUCCAUAGUCCAGGGCUGGCUAUUUGAAUUUUUCUUCUCAUGAUGCUGAAACAGUGUUUUGUAGCGUUUUGAGAUUGAAGUGUGGUUUCUGUAUCCUUAUUCACAAUGUAAGUUGAGACCAGUUUCAAUGCUAGGGAUGAUCAUUAUUUAAUAUUUACUAUUAUUUGAGUCUUACAGUGAUGAAAAAAAUCUUUUUGAUUUGAACAUGUAAUG